AGGCUGACUUCCUCUGGCUUUAACUGCUUCUUUCUGCUCACCUAUGAUGAGUUGAAGUACUUGGCUGAACUGGAAGCUCAUGAAGUUAAUCCUAGAGUCUGUCUUUGGGCAGCCAGGAUGCAUUUGCCACAAAUAUCAAGAUGAAGCCUGCUUCACUUCUCUGCCAGCUCUGAGAUCUAAGUGACAGUGCAAAUACCCUCCCUUUCAGUGUUGGAGUGAUCUCAGUGUGGGAUAGUUAAACAGCAUGGUGAUGCUGAAAACCUGUGCCCUUAGAAGCUCAUAAGGCGCUGACAAACUUACUGGGACUGUGGUGGAGCCAAGGUCAGAAUGAAAAGACAAAAUCCAUGCAAUAAGAGAUGAGUUCCUGGGGCUGUUCCUUUAUGUGCAGAUUGCAAAGCUUUUUUCUAGGUGUAGCUCUGGGGAUUUAUAUACAGAAGGCUUGUAAUUUUCUUUCUUUUCUUUUGCUUCUGCCCGAAUCUUUGUGAGCUUCACACUCAAAUGAAAACCUUAGCAGUACAGAAUGGAUUAAUAUGGGAUCAGAAGAAGAAGAUUAUAUUUCUACAUCCUCUUACCUCUAUUUUUAAAAGGUCUAUCCCAAUAUUACAUUGCAUGUGUUCAACAUGAUUCCUUUAUGCAGACCCAGAUGAUAUAUGUAACUGGCAAAGCAAUUUUUAGAGGUAACUGAGAUUUAUAAAGAGUUCUAAGAGUUACUUAACCUUAUAAAGAAUAUUAACAAGACUUUCCAUUAAAACUCUGGAAUGAUUCAGUAUUAAAAUGUGUCCUUGUCUAGUGCACACUUUGUAUUUGGCUUUUGAGAUCCAGUAUUACCUGAUAUUGUAUUUAUUUUGCCUUUCCUCCUUCAGAUGCAUUGAUGUCCUCUGUCAUUCUUGUGUGAUAGAAAUUCCAGCACAAAAUAUCACUGACUUUCCAUGCUCCAUUCAUUCUAAGAAUAGUGUUUCUGUGAUCUGUGAGCAGAUCACACGUGGUGAUCUGAAAAGUUGUUCUGCUCCUGCUGAAGUCAGUUGAAAAAUAUCAAAUAGGAGUCAAACAGGCUCCUGUACACUCUUUAACCCUUUAACCUAAAAUACAAAUGGAAAAAAGAUUCCAAUGUUCUUAAUAGGGACUUUCUGAAAAUUUAGGCUUCCAGAAAACACGAUGAAAUGUGGAAACACUUCCAAUAUUUCUGCAUUUUGCAACUUGUGUGAAGAUAAUAGACAUUGAAUUCUGUUUUUCACCUGAGACAUGCAAUAAAUUACAUAGCAGAAGUGGCUGUGUUGCAGUUUUGUUAGAUUACUUUCUGUCUACAAGAAACUUGGCUGAGACCCCUGCCCUUUUUUGCUUGUGCUGCACUGCCAAUCCAACCACUGGUAUCCAAAAGUGAAAGGCUGCUGCCCUGAAAUACAGCCUUGUGUUGGGGGGUGAGCAGAACUGAAGUGAAAAGAGUAGGCUAACUGCACAGACUUAAGUCAUUCUGAUAAGGAGGCACAGCUGCAGAAAAGUGGCCUUGGGAGGCUGGCAGAGAAGCUGCUCUCUGUAGCAGAGCUGUGCGAGGAGGGCAGGCUGGUCAGCCCUGGGACCAAGCAGUGUUGUGGCUAAGGUGCUGCAAAGGGGGAUUAAGGUGGGUAGUUGGUCAGGUCUGCCUCUGUGCGUGUGGACAGCCCAUUUCUGCCUAUGUAAGCCUGUCAAAAGUACA
Molecule: long non-coding RNA, 1693 nt
Organism: Pogoniulus pusillus (Red-fronted tinkerbird)
Lineage: Eukaryota; Metazoa; Chordata; Aves; Piciformes; Lybiidae
Exons: 3
Source: RefSeq, a predicted model, not a curated record